CCUACGGGAGGCAGCAGUGAGGAAUAUUGGUCAAUGGGCGAAAGCCUGAUGGAGCAACGCCGCGUGCAGGAUGAAGGCCUUCGGGUUGUAAACUGCUUUUAUAAGCGAGAAAUAUGAUGGUAACUUAUGAAUAAGGAUCGGCUAACUACGUGCCAUCAGCCGCGGUCAUACGUAGGAUCCGAGCAUUAUCCGGAGUGACUGGGUGUAAAGAGUUGCGUAGGUGGCAUAAUAAGUAGCUAGUGAAAUCUGGUGGCUCAACCAUUCAGACUAUUAGCUAAACUGUUAAGCUCGAGACCGUUAGGGGUAACUGGAAUUUCUAGUGUAGGAGUGAAAUCCGUAGAUAUUAGAAGGAACACCAAUAGCGUAGGCAGGUUGCUGGGACGGUUCUGACACUAAGGCACGAAAGCGUAGGGAGCAAACGGGAUUAGAUACCCUAGUAGUC
RNAcentral lists this ribosomal RNA (442 nucleotides) under uncultured bacterium. RNAcentral describes it as "partial 16S ribosomal RNA". It matches the Rfam family "Bacterial small subunit ribosomal RNA", at positions 338 to 795 of the family's 1533-position model. The record is from RNAcentral.